CGAUGCCAAUGAUGUACAACUUUCACUUAACCUACAUUGUUUGAGUUUCCGUGAGAAGAAAAACCAAUUCUGAGGCUCGG
Small nucleolar RNA from Asterias rubens (European starfish), 80 nucleotides. RefSeq annotates it as small nucleolar RNA SNORD34. NCBI's taxonomy places the organism in Eukaryota, Metazoa, Echinodermata, Asteroidea, Forcipulatida, Asteriidae. The transcript has a single exon. The record is from RefSeq and is a predicted model, not a curated record.